AGUGAACGCUGGCGGCAUGCCUUACACAUGCAAGUCGAACGGCAGCACGGGAGCUUGCUCCUGGUGGCGAGUGGCGAACGGGUGAGUAAUGCAUCGGAACGUGCCCUGAAGUGGGGGAUAACGUAGCGAAAGUUACGCUAAUACCGCAUAUUCUGUGAGCAGGAAAGCAGGGGAUCUUCGGACCUUGCGCUUUUGGAGCGGCCGAUGUCGGAUUAGCUAGUUGGUGGGGUAAAGGCCCACCAAGGCGACGAUCCGUAGCGGGUCUGAGAGGAUGAUCCGCCACACUGGGACUGAGACACGGCCCAGACUCCUACGGGAGGCAGCAGUGGGGAAUUUUGGACAAUGGGCGCAAGCCUGAUCCAGCCAUGCCGCGUGAGUGAAGAAGGCCUU
RNAcentral lists this ribosomal RNA (390 nucleotides) under uncultured bacterium. Its description in RNAcentral is "bacterial SSU rRNA". It matches the Rfam family "Bacterial small subunit ribosomal RNA", at positions 29 to 418 of the family's 1533-position model. The record is from RNAcentral.